GAACUGGUGAGUAACACGUGGGAAACCUGCCCACCUUCGGGGGAUAACACCUGGAAACAGAUGCUAAUACCGCAUAACAACUUGGACCGCAUGGUCCGAGUUUGAAAGAUGGCUUCGGCUAUCACUUCUGGAUGGUCCCGCGGCGUAUUAGCUAGAUGGUGAGGUAACGGCUCACCAUGGCAAUGAUACGUAGCCGACCUGAGAGGGUAAUCGGCCACAUUGGGACUGAGACACGGCCCAAACUCCUACGGGAGGCAGCAGUAGGGAAUCUUCCACAAUGGACGAAAGUCUGAUGGAGCAACGCCGCGUGAGUGAAGAAGGGUUUCGGUUCGUAAAACUCUGUUGUUAAAGAAGAACAUAUCUGAGAGUAACUGUUCAGGUAUUGACGGUAUUUAACCAGAAAGCCACGGCUAACUACGUGCCAGCAGCCGCGGUAAUACGUAGGUGGCAAGCGUUGUCCGGAUUUAUUGGGCGUAAAGCGAGCGCAGGCGGUUUUUUAAGUCUGAUGUGAAAGCCUUCGGCUCAACCGAAGAAGUGCAUCGGAAACUGGGAAACUUGAGUGCAGAAGAGGACAGUGGAACUCCAUGUGUAGCGGUGAAAUGCGUAGAUAUAUGGAAGAACACCAGUGGCGAAGGCGGCUGUCUGGUCUGUAACUGACGCUGAGGCUCGAAAGUAUGGGUAGCAAACAGGAUUAGAUACCCUGGUAGUCCAUACCGUAAACGAUGAAUGCUAAGUGUUGGAGGGUUUCCGCCCUUCAGUGCUGC
This 764-nucleotide ribosomal RNA is filed under the name uncultured bacterium. RNAcentral describes it as "bacterial SSU rRNA". It matches the Rfam family "Bacterial small subunit ribosomal RNA", at positions 100 to 849 of the family's 1533-position model. The record is from RNAcentral.